Long non-coding RNA from Archocentrus centrarchus (flier cichlid), 552 nucleotides. RefSeq lists it as uncharacterized. The transcript has 3 exons. The record is from RefSeq and is a predicted model, not a curated record. Lineage: Eukaryota; Metazoa; Chordata; Actinopteri; Cichliformes; Cichlidae.
CACACACACAUACAUAUAUAUUCACACACUCUCUCUCUCUCUCCCUAUCUUUUCUCGCUCGCCCUCCCCCAGUCUGCUGCUCCCCUCACGCGCUCUCCGAGCGAGCACCGCACUCCAAACCGCCCUAAACAAUUCGGAACAAGUUCAAACGGGUCGAGUUAUUUUUGUAGCUUUCUGCGCGGCACGACUGAGGUGAUGCUAGGCAGCCGACCGAGCAGUCCGGGCGGAGAGGAAUAAGGAAAUAUUCUCCCGACAGUGUCUUUACCCCGCAGCCCGGCCGCCCACGCUUCGCUAGCUGAAGUUAAUGCCAGCGCCCACUACAAGACUUUUGCAUUGAUUUUUCAAUCCUAAGCAAACUUGAUCCUACACCUGCACACCCGCUCCACCAGCUGCAUAAUUUUGACCUGUGAAACUGCUGCCGGGAGCCGUCAUUUUAGUGUCAGAUCAAUGAAACCCUCAUUCAGCUCCAGUUUCAGAACCAGCACCCAGCACUCCCUGGAUUGAGCUCAUCAGCGGUCCUGCUCCACAUCUUCAGAUCAUUCUUCACCUCUA